GAAGCUAGCAAUCCCAUAAACCGUGGCUCAGUUCAGGUCGUAGGCUGCAACUCGCCUACGUGAAGUAGGAAUCGCUAGUAAUCGCAGGUCAGCAUACUGCGGUGAAUACGUUCCCGGGCCUUGUACACACCGCCCGUCACACCAUGGAAGUUGGCCAUGCCCGAAGUCGUUACUCCAACCCUUGUGGAGGAGGACGCCGAAGGUGGGGCUAAUGACUGGGGUGAAGUCGUAACAAGGUAGCCGUACCGGAAGGUGCGGCUGGAUCACCUCCUAA
This 274-nucleotide ribosomal RNA is filed under the name uncultured Prochlorococcus sp. RNAcentral describes it as "partial 16S ribosomal RNA". It matches the Rfam family "Bacterial small subunit ribosomal RNA", at positions 1261 to 1533 of the family's 1533-position model. The record is from RNAcentral. Lineage: Bacteria; Bacillati; Cyanobacteriota; Cyanophyceae; Synechococcales; Prochlorococcaceae.